This is an RNA transcript of Vespa velutina, 2680 nucleotides long. It is a transcript of the gene named wiskott-Aldrich syndrome protein family member 3, with no coding region annotated. NCBI's taxonomy places the organism in Eukaryota, Metazoa, Arthropoda, Insecta, Hymenoptera, Vespidae. The record is from RefSeq and is a predicted model, not a curated record. The transcript is spliced from 11 exons.
GUUUAGUUUAAUAAAAUCAGUAAAAAAGAUAGUUAUAUGAAAGAGAAAAAGAGAGAGAGAGGUGGGGAGUGUAAAGCGCCAUCGUGUGGCUGGGAACAGAAUUGCAGGGUGACACAUGGCCGCCGGGGUGGCAGCUACGUGUUUAAUGUGAACAAGAAAGGAAGAUAGUGCACCGCCAUGACAUUAGUGCAAAAUUCAAGAGGUCAAAACUGAAAUUAAUCAUGCCCAUUUAUAUGUGAUAUUAUAUUAUCGGAAUUGGGUGUAAAUGUUUCUACCGUGAUGAACACUACUUUAAAAAGUUUAAAAGACUGUGGAUUUUUAUCUUCACAUGUGAUUACAUUAUGUCAUCGUCUAAUCUCAAAAUAUGAGAUUUUGAAAGAACGGUGAAUGAUUUACGAAGCCUAAUCAAAAGGAUCGUAACGCAAAACUAAUUGAGAAAAAAAUGCCUCUACCGAAAAGAUUGGUGGAACCCGUUCACGUCGCACGUGGUACGAUACCGGAAGAUUUUCCAUUACCGUCGGAAUUAGAAGCUGUCACCAAUGGUACUUUGGCUAAUACCAUUAGACAACUCUCCAGCCUAUCACGGCAUGCCGAAGAUCUCUUUGCAGAGCUAACCAGGGAAGCUCAUGCGUUAAGCGACAGGGCAAAUUCUUUGCAAGCUAGGAUAGAUCGAUUGGCCGUCAAGGUCACUCAACUUGAUAGCAAUGUCGAGGAAGUUUCAUUACAAGAUAUACACAUGAGGAAGGCAUUCAAGAGUUCGGUCGUUUUCGAUCAACAAGUAGUAUCAAGGGAUACAAUGCCAACGGCGAUGUUAGAAACUUAUCGUCAAUGCGACACACCACCACCUUUAGAUAAACUCAACAUUUAUAGGGAGGACGGAAAAGAUGGAUUGAAGUUUUACACGGAUCCAAAUUAUUUCUUUGAUUUAUGGAGUCAAGAGAUGUUGAAAGAUACGGAAAAGAAAUUGCAUGAUCGAGGGAAAAAGACUGAAACAGAAUAUGCCGAACCAUACAGAAAGCCUCAUAGGCCACGGAACGAAGGUAGCGGAGGUGGAGGUAGACACAAGAAGCGUGUAAGACAGCCUCAUAAUACAAGGGAAAGGCAGAGACAAUUAGCGGUUGGCCAUGGGGAAUAUAUAAUGCCAACACAAGGGGUUCAAUAUAGAGCACCUCAUACCAUGACCGAUGAAACAAUGAUGGGAAUGGUCGUGACCGAAUCAAGACCACCUAGACCGAACAGUAUUGAACUUAGACGAAGUUAUCCACCAGAGGAACAACACUUGUAUAGCCCUUCUUCCUCUGAUCAUUAUAGGGCAACGAAUUCUGUUACCCAUGGUUAUGAAGAAAAUGUGUACGGUUCUCAUUAUGCUUCUGGCCAAGGCCAACAAGGUAGCGAAACUUAUCAGAGUCCAGGAGGACAAAGUACACCCAGUAGAAGUGGUAGAUCGCGACCUUCUCAACCACCUCCGGCACCACCUAGCAAUACUUCAAGUAAUUCGACUCCCACGGUGGCAUCGGCUAAUAAUACUCCUACCAGAGGGAGAUCUAUGAGCACUGGUAGAGAUACGCUUCCACCUCCUCCUCCUCCACCAGGAGAAACAAUGUCUCCACCUUCCAUGAACGGUUCGAUACCGUCCCACUUGUUAAAUAGGAAUGGAAGUCGUCCAAACAGUCCUUUACCGAGUCAUCAUUCGACUCCUACUCCACCAAAUCAUUCGGCACAAAUUGGUACAGACGAAACAGAUCCCGUCUCUCAAGAUUUACCACCACCACCUCCAACACCCGAUCCUACACCACCAAGGCCUAUUUCUCCACCGUGUAAUAUUCCUCCACCUCCUCCGCCACCACCACCACCACCAGCUAUUAAUGGUUCAUCCCCACCGGUACCAUUGACGAACGGAGAUAUUGCCAAAAUGAUAGCCAUGUGUCCGCCGAAAUUAAAACCAUUGAAAAGUAUCGAUGGACAGCUACGAAAGUCUGCUGUCAAUCCGAACAUCCCAUUGGUAGAUCCAAGGAAUGAUUUACUUAAAGCGAUAAGAGACGGGAUAAAAUUGAGAAAAGUAGAAAAAAUCGAGCAGAAGGAAGUAGAACGUGUUAACGCAUUGAACGACGUUGCAUCCAUAUUGGCUCGCCGUGUUGCUGUCGAAUUUAGCGAUAGUGAUUCAGCUUCGGAAAGCGAAUGCGACAGCGAAGGAUGGGGCGAACAAGAAACGAAUCUCGCGUGACCCACCUCUUUUCCAUCUGCCGCCACUGCCUCUUAGAAAAAUGACCGAGGAGCUACCCUUUUAAUUUCUUCUUGAAAUUUCUUUGGGCCAUCUACAUGAGAAUUGUCGAAACGAUCUUGCACAGUCUAGCCAAAACUACAAGAUCAUAAAACACCUGCACCAGCGAAGUUAGAAAUCAUUUGACGAUAUACUGUGAGAACGUGGGGAAUUAAAUAAAUAUAAUAAUGUCGUUAAUAAAAUUUAUUACGUUUCGGUGUGACCGAAUUACGAUUUAUCGCACGACUAAAAUUAUUCAUAUAGGAAUAAAAGCCAAAGAACCUUGCAUAUUCAUAGAUUAAAUUUUGUUUCUUUUUUUUUUUUUUUAUUUUUUAUUUUUUUUUUUUUUUUGUUUUUCCUUUUUUUUUUUUUUUUUUUUCCGUUGUAUUUUGUAUUUUCUCAAUCUUGCCACUCGAAUAU